Long non-coding RNA from Triticum aestivum (bread wheat), 627 nucleotides. RefSeq lists it as uncharacterized. Lineage: Eukaryota; Viridiplantae; Streptophyta; Magnoliopsida; Poales; Poaceae. The record is from RefSeq and is a predicted model, not a curated record. The transcript is spliced from 2 exons.
CUCACUCACUUGCAGCUCUCCAAUUCUUUCAUUUUUGAAAGCAUCAGGUACAGAAGGAGAAAAUAUAUUAUGUAUUCGAUGAGUGGGGAGCAGCAGGACUACUAUAUCUCUAAAGCGUUUUUUCUUACAAUUUGUGUUCUGGGGAUGAUCUGAAUUAAGAGAUUAGAAUGCAAAUCCUCAACGCCUUUGUGCGGUGAAGCCGCCAAGAGGGUCCAUAAAACCAUAAUCUUCGGGAGUUCUAGAAGUACCUCAAAAUUGAUAUUGUUAGUGCAAUAAAAACACAAGUAUACCAGUUUCGUCGUCCUUGCAUCUCCGAUCUACUAUAUUUAGGAGGCCUUCACCUGAUGGCACCACCCAGAUGAGCAGGACCUCUUAUUUUGAAUUGCCUCGAUGUUUUGUGUCCGCACUGCCUUAUAAGGCAUUAUGGAUGGACUAUGAUGUGGAGGCCUCCUAUGAUAUCUUGAGUUCGAUUGAAUGCCACCUUUUGAAGUUAUAACAAUAUUGAUGUACUAAACAUUUCUCAGUUUUUCCCGGUAUGACCCAGGAAUCAGAACCAUUAGCCUAUUCUAUUUUAUGUUGCAAAUAGAACAAUUAGCUUAUGUUGCAAAUAUUUUAUCUUCGAUGCUU